Molecule: non-coding RNA, 161 nt
Filed under: unclassified sequences
Description: RT-3 RNA
Rfam family: RT-3 RNA
Source: Rfam by way of RNAcentral
UUUGGGCGUACAACAUCGGGGGACGUGUCCCCAACGUGGAGCUCAGGGAAAUGAACCUCACUAAUAGCAAGAGCUUAUUACAGACUUGGAAAAGUGGAACAUAAAGCGUUGGGUGGAGUUUGGUAGGGUAUAAAGAAAUACAGCCGAAGAAGUCAGACCCA